Molecule: long non-coding RNA, 302 nt
Filed under: Rattus norvegicus (Norway rat)
Lineage: Eukaryota; Metazoa; Chordata; Mammalia; Rodentia; Muridae
Description: long non-coding RNA NONRATT017365
Source: RNAcentral
GCAAGGAAGUAAGAGCCUUUAAAGAUAAUCUGCUUUCUUGGACAUGAGUGUCCAAGUUCUGAUAACUAACUUGAAAUAGGAAUAGAAGUACUGGAGUAGGGAUCCUUCAUUCUAAAUUGGGAGAGAGGAGUUUGGAGACGCUGACGUUGUAGAGGUGGGCCGAUAUGGGGAAAGUGACUAGGAUGGAGGAGCAGAAAAGGACCUGACACCACGAGCUAGCACCGCACGGGCAACAUGGCCAAUGCUUUGGCCAGUGCCACGUGUGAACGCUGCAAGGGGGGCUUUGACCCUGCUGAGAAGAU